This is an RNA transcript of Ricinus communis (castor bean), 2935 nucleotides long. RefSeq lists it as uncharacterized. The transcript has 9 exons. NCBI's taxonomy places the organism in Eukaryota, Viridiplantae, Streptophyta, Magnoliopsida, Malpighiales, Euphorbiaceae. The record is from RefSeq and is a predicted model, not a curated record.
UCCUGUUACAUAAGCAUUUCCACCUGAAAUAAAAUCUAUAUUUUAUAUCAACACAGCCACAGGUAAUUCAUCAACGUGGCGGCACCUUAAUCUAUGUGCGCAUUGCGCACCUCCUCUACCUUCAAACAUUCAUUCAACCGUCUUAUCAGAAAAAAAAAAAAAAAUUCAAACCCUACUUUCUCUCUUUCUCUCUCAAACCAAAAUCGCAACCCAAAGAAUCCACAAUUGCAUCUAAGCUUCUAUAUUUUUUUUUUUUGUGUUUGUAUUUUCUUUCACAAAUUAUAAAAAAAGCUUAAUCUUCAGUACUCUUCUCGUUUCAAAAUCGAUCCCUAAAUUAUUCACUGGAAACAAAACCCUAAUAACACCCUUUAUAUUUUUUCUUCAAUUCAAAAAAUCAAGUUUCUCUUCCGUUUGGAAACAGCUCUUCAUUUUGCAGUUUACUUAAACUGAUUUUGUAAUACUAAGUUUCUGACUCAGUUUUUUUUUCUCUUUAAAUUUUUACUAUUUUGAAAAGAAUUAGUUCGUUUAAGUUUGGUUUUAUCUUUCCUAAAAUAAACAAGAGCCGCCUUUUACAUUACUUAAAAAACAAAAAUCUCUUUUUACAAUCAGUUUCGCAGGUUACCACUAUCAGUACACAUUAAACUUAUCAUCAGCUCAAAACCCAUUAGCAUCUUUGUCUUUAUUACCAAAGAAACCAAAACAAAUUGUAAAUCUUUCGAAGAAUCACAUGAAUUGGUAAACUGUGAGUGGAAAUGUCAGUGGAAAGGUCGUUUGAAGCAUGGGAGGAGGUACAGAGGCAAGGGCAGGACCUCGCGGACAGGUUGGCUCAGGGUUUUUCUGGUCUAAUCCAAUCUCACAUGACUAACCCACAAGUAGUAUUUCCAUGGCCAAACCAUCAAAAAUCGAAGCUUUUCGAUCUGGAAUUCCCUGCAUACAAUUUUAGCAAAAGGGAUUUUGGAGUGCUAGCUGAUAGUAAUGGGAUAAAUGGGAUUUUUGAUAUUGGAAAUAGGAUUGGACAAGCCGGGGCUGAUUUUGGGGCUUGUUUGAAUGGGUUGAUGCAACAGUUUUUUAGGAGAUUGCCAGUGCCCUUUAGGCAAGAGGAGAGUGUUAGAAUGGAGGUGGUGAUGAUGGACAGUAAAAGGAAUGAUGCAUGUGUGAGUUUGGAGGGGGAGUUUGGUUUGGUCAGUGAGAGGUUGAGGGAAUUUGGAUUUGUGGAUAAUGGUGAUGCUGGUAUUGGUAGGGUGGAGGGUUCCUCAGACGAAGAAAAUGGUGGUUUUAAUUUGAAGUCUGUGGGGCAUCUUGGUAAACCACAGGGGGUCAUGAAUAUUACAUCAACUUAUGACAGUAGAACUCGCAACUUCGAGAGUUCUUUGAUUGCAAGAGGAGACUUAUGGAGAGUUGAAGCAUCACAUGGCAGUUCCACCUCCACAUCAGGAAAUGAUAAUUCAUCUCUCUUCCUCAUUCAGCUUGGACCAGUACUUUUUGUUCGCGAUUCGACACUUCUUCUGCCUGUUCAUCUGUCAAAGCAACACUUGCUUUGGUAUGGUUAUGAUAGGAAGAAUGGAAUGCAUUCUCUUUGUCCUGCUGUAUGGUCAAAGCAUAGAAGGUGGCUCUUAAUGUCAAUGCUUUGUCUCAAUCCUGUAGCUUGUUCGUUCGUGGAUUUGCAAUUUCCAAAUGGUCAGGUUACCUAUGUCUCAGGCGAGGGACUCACUACAAGUGCUUUUCUACCUUUCUGCGGGGGACUUCUCCAAGCACAGGGCAAAUAUCCAGGGGAAAUGAGAUUUAGCUUCUCUCACAAGAACAAGUGGGGUACACGCAUCACACCAAUGUUUCAAUGGCCCGACAAGUCAUUUACAUUAGGCUUUGCACAGGCCUUAGCGUGGCAGAGAUCAGGUCUAAUGGUGAGGCCAACUGUUCAGUUCAGUUUGUGCCCCACUUUUGGCGGAAGCAAUCCUGGGUUGAGGGCAGAACUUAUUCAUUCAGUGAAUGAGCAACUUAACCUGAUCUGUGGCUGUGCAUUCAUGGCUCACCCUUCCAUAUUUGCAUCACUCUCUCAUAAACCAAUUUGGCUUCAUGGGUGGCUGCUGUGCACACAAGUUAAGGGCUUUAAACACAGGUUUCUUUAACAAGCAAAAAAAAAAAAACAAAGCUUUGCAGACAAGCUACUUUUUUUCUUCGAAGUACAAAAGGCCACCAGUGAAGACGGACAUACUCAUAGCGCAAGUGUCUGGAAUAUUGAUUCUUGUGAAGGAAUUCGUUGUUACCAUUAAGACAUGGGAUAUACUUUGUUAAAAUAAAUGUUACACCUUGAACAAGAGGAAUAUAGGCCAGUUUGCCAGGCUAACUGCAAUUUUCUGUGUAGCACGGAUCUGUGUUGCCACUGUAACCAUAUCUUUGAAACAAUAAGAUCCAAAUAUCCUUAGAUUGAGAAUCCAGAGUUCAUUGUCUGCCUCAACACAAUGUAACCUCAAGCUUCUUGCUAAAAGGAUGCUGUCGAUUUAAAGGUCUGACUGCAUAUGGAGGGGCUAACUUUGGUCUUCAGUCAAAGUCUUACCCAUAGUGGUUAGAAGCUAAUAAUCUAAUUGACGGUUGAUGAAAUUGCAAAAUUGCGAAUGUACCAGCACUGAUGCAUCAAACUCCAUUUGUUCAAAAAAUAAAAUUGCAAUGAAUGAUUGAAACAGAACAAAUGUAUUGGCCGGUCUAAGUGGAAUAGUAAUGCUGGGUGCUCUGGAAUUGUUGUGAGAGUUGAUAGCCCAUUCUCUGAUGUGGGCCGACCAUCUUUCUCUGUUCAGAUAAAUAGUGGUAUUGAGUUUUGAAUUGCUGGGACUCCAUAUUUUGCGUAGUAGAAGUGUAAAUAGCGUUUGAGCUUUAAAUCAUACAAUACUACAUGUGAAUAUUUUGAGCAAUCGUUCUAUUAAUUCACUUUUGAUUUUGA